GAUGAACGCUGGCGGCGUGCCUAAUACAUGCAAGUCGAGCGAACAGAUGAGGAGCUUGCUCCUCUGACGUUAGCGGCGGACGGGUGAGUAACACGUGGAUAACCUACCUAUAAGACUGGGAUAACUUCGGGAAACCGGAGCUAAUACCGGAUAAUAUAUUGAACCGCAUGGUUCAAUAGUGAAAGACGGUUUUGCUGUCACUUAUAGAUGGAUCCGCGCCGCAUUAGCUAGUUGGUAAGGUAACGGCUUACCAAGGCAACGAUGCGUAGCCGACCUGAGAGGGUGAUCGGCCACACUGGAACUGAGACACGGUCCAGACUCCUACGGGAGGCAGCAGUAGGGAAUCUUCCGCAAUGGGCGAAAGCCUGACGGAGCAACGCCGCGUGAGUGAUGAAGGUCUUCGGAUCGUAAAACUCUGUUAUUAGGGAAGAACAAAUGUGUAAGUAACUAUGCACGUCUUGACGGUACCUACUCAGAAAGCCACGGCUAACUACGUG
This 497-nucleotide ribosomal RNA is filed under the name uncultured bacterium. RNAcentral describes it as "partial 16S ribosomal RNA". It matches the Rfam family "Bacterial small subunit ribosomal RNA", at positions 28 to 507 of the family's 1533-position model. The record is from RNAcentral.